RNAcentral lists this ribosomal RNA (120 nucleotides) under uncultured bacterium. RNAcentral's name for it is "partial 16S ribosomal RNA". It matches the Rfam family "Bacterial small subunit ribosomal RNA", at positions 215 to 334 of the family's 1533-position model. The record is from RNAcentral.
UCGCUUCGGGAGGGCCUCGCGGCCUAUCAGCUUGUUGGUGGGGUAACGGCCUACCAAGGCAUCGACGGGUAGCUGGUCUGAGAGGACGAUCAGCCACACUGGGACUGAGACACGGCCCAG